UACGUAGGGGGGCAAGCGUUGUCCGGAAUCAUUGGGCGUAAAGCGCGUGUAGGCGGUUCAGUAAGUCUGCUGUGAAAGUCCAGGGCUCAACCCUGGGAUGCCGGUGGAUACUGCUGGGCUAGAGUACGGAAGAGGCGAGUGGAAUUCCCGGUGUAGCGGUGAAAUGCGCAGAUAUCGGGGAGGAACACCAAUUGCGAAGGCAGCUCGCUGGGACGUUACUGACGCUGAGACGCGAAAGCGUGGGGAGCAAACAGG
RNAcentral lists this ribosomal RNA (255 nucleotides) under uncultured bacterium. RNAcentral's name for it is "partial 16S ribosomal RNA". It matches the Rfam family "Bacterial small subunit ribosomal RNA", at positions 524 to 776 of the family's 1533-position model. The record is from RNAcentral.